GCCAGCAUGAUGUAGUGGUUUGAGCACUGGACUACAACUCUGGAGACCAGGGUUCAAUUCCCUGCUCAACCA
Molecule: non-coding RNA, 72 nt
Organism: Phrynosoma platyrhinos (Desert horned lizard)
Lineage: Eukaryota; Metazoa; Chordata; Lepidosauria; Squamata; Phrynosomatidae
Source: the annotation of a GenBank genome assembly